RNAcentral lists this small RNA (405 nucleotides) under Arabidopsis thaliana (thale cress). Its description in RNAcentral is "ATSL044690". The record is from RNAcentral. Lineage: Eukaryota; Viridiplantae; Streptophyta; Magnoliopsida; Brassicales; Brassicaceae.
UUUUAAAAAGAUUUACAAGAGUUUUUAAAGGGUUUUAAAACCCUUAUAAAUAUUUAAAAAACCAUUGUAAAUCCUUUAAAACUCUUGUAAACCAAUUAAAAAUCUUUUAAAAACUUUUGUAAACUCUUUCAUAAUUUUUUAACCAUUUUAAAACUCUUGUGAACCUUUACAAAAUAUUUUCAAAAGAUUUACAAGAGUUUUUAAAGGAUAUACUUGUAAAUUCGUUUAAAAUCUUUUAAAAACCCUUGUAAUUCUCUUAAAACCCUUUAAAAAUCCCUUGUAAAUCUCUUAAAACAAUAAACUCUUUAAAAAUCUCUUGUAGAUCUUUUAAAACCCUUUAAAAGUCCCUUGGAAAUCUUUUAAAACCCCUUUUAAACCCUUUAAAAUCCCUUGUAAAACUCUUUU